Non-coding RNA from Schistosoma curassoni, 45 nucleotides. NCBI's taxonomy places the organism in Eukaryota, Metazoa, Platyhelminthes, Trematoda, Strigeidida, Schistosomatidae. The record is from Rfam.
GUUCAGAUGACAAGUCCUAAAUAGGACGAAAUGCACAUUCUGGAU